This 399-nucleotide transfer-messenger RNA is filed under the name Sphingomonadales bacterium. It matches the Rfam family "Alphaproteobacteria transfer-messenger RNA". From Rfam's summary of the family: Bacterial tmRNA, also known as 10Sa RNA or SsrA, is named for its dual tRNA and mRNA-like properties. Its role is to liberate the mRNA from a stalled ribosome. The record is from RNAcentral. Lineage: Bacteria; Pseudomonadati; Pseudomonadota; Alphaproteobacteria; Sphingomonadales.
GCCCUUUUCUUUUGCGGGGCGCCUCCCUAUAUCCCUGCGUGCCGGGUUCGCCCGGCUAUGAUGAUAAACUGCGGCGUGUAAUAGACGCAGCGGACCCGGGGGCGGUACCCGGCGGCUCCACCAUCACACCCGUUCGGGGCAUCCGUGCCCCGGAAGGGCGCGUUGACGGGGCCGAACUAGGAUCGACGUGUGUUCAAAAGCGCUGUUUUCAUCCGGGCUGAGUAACCCGUUCAAGGCUCAAAACUCAUAAGUGCCAACGACAACGAAGCACUUGCUCUCGCUGCGUAAUUCUAGGGGCUAACGCCCUGAAGUUACAAGGUUAGAACGCGGUCGAACCCACCGGGCAACAGAAGGGAGUUCAGCGGCUUGGGGGGUGCCGGGCAACAGAAACCCCCUACC